GAUGAACGCUGGCGGCGUGCCUAAUACAUGCAAGUCGAGCGAACAGACGAGGAGCUUGCUCCUCUGACGUUAGCGGCGGACGGGUGAGUAACACGUGGAUAACCUACCUAUAAGACUGGGAUAACUUCGGGAAACCGGAGCUAAUACCGGAUAAUAUAUUGAACCGCAUGGUUCAAUAGUGAAAGACGGUUUUGCUGUCACUUAUAGAUGGAUCCGCGCCGCAUUAGCUAGUUGGUAAGGUAACGGCUUACCAAGGCAACGAUGCGUAGCCGACCUGCGAGGGUGAUCGGCCACACUGGAACUGAGACACGGUCCAGACUCCUACGGGAGGCAGCAGUAGGGAAUCUUCCGCAAUGGGCGAAAGCCUAACGGAGCAACGCCGCGUGAGUGAUGAAGGUCUUCGGAUCGUAAAACUCUGUUAUUAGGGAAGAACAAAUGUGUAAGUAACUAUGCACGUCUUGACGGUACCUAAUCAGAAAGCCACGGCUAACUACGUG
This 497-nucleotide ribosomal RNA is filed under the name uncultured bacterium. Its description in RNAcentral is "partial 16S ribosomal RNA". It matches the Rfam family "Bacterial small subunit ribosomal RNA", at positions 28 to 507 of the family's 1533-position model. The record is from RNAcentral.